RNAcentral lists this ribosomal RNA (462 nucleotides) under Lepas sp. eL29l11_24. Its description in RNAcentral is "SSU rRNA". It matches the Rfam family "Eukaryotic small subunit ribosomal RNA", at positions 482 to 905 of the family's 1831-position model. Lineage: Eukaryota; Metazoa; Arthropoda; Thecostraca; Lepadidae. The record is from RNAcentral.
UUACAGAGGUCUCGUUAACCGAGAUCUCUCAAACGGAAUGAGUACAACGUGAAUCCUUUAACGAGGAUCGACUGGAGGGCAAGCCUGGUGCCAGCAGCCGCGGUAAUUCCAGCUCCAGUAGCGUAUAUUAAAGCUGUUGCGGUUAAAAAGCUCGUAGUUGGAUAUCAGUGUGGUUCAGCACGACAUGCCCGGUGCGUUAUGGCGUUCUCGCGAUGACGUCCGGGCUCCCAAAUGUCGUCUGGCUACAUUCAAUGGCGUCGGACUCGGCGGCCGUACUUCGGUGGGGCCUGCCGGCGACCGGCGGUGUUACCUUGAACAAAUUAGAGUGCUCAAAGCAGGCUCUCAAUGCCUGUAUACAUAUUCAUGGAAUUGGAGAAUACGUCCCUGGCUCGAUUUGGUUGGUUUUGAGAGUCGAAGGGAAAUGAUUAAUAGGGACUGACGGAGGCAUUCGUAUUGCGACGC